This 301-nucleotide ribosomal RNA is filed under the name uncultured bacterium. RNAcentral describes it as "partial 16S ribosomal RNA". It matches the Rfam family "Bacterial small subunit ribosomal RNA", at positions 509 to 807 of the family's 1533-position model. The record is from RNAcentral.
CAGUCGCCGCGGUAAUACGUAGGUGGCAAGCGUUAUCCGGAAUUAUUGGGCGUAAAGCGCGCGUAGGCGGUUUUUUAAGUCUGAUGUGAAAGCCCACGGCUCAACCGUGGAGGGUCAUUGGAAACUGGAAAACUUGAGUGCAGAAGAGGAAAGUGGAAUUCCAUGUGUAGCGGUGAAAUGCGCAGAGAUAUGGAGGAACACCAGUGGCGAAGGCGACUUUCUGGUCUGUAACUGACGCUGAUGUGCGAAAGCGUGGGGAUCAAACAGGAUUAGAGACCCCAGUAGUCCCUGUCUCUUAUAC